Molecule: ribosomal RNA, 428 nt
Filed under: uncultured prokaryote
Description: bacterial SSU rRNA
Rfam family: Bacterial small subunit ribosomal RNA
Source: RNAcentral
UGAGGAAUUUUGCGCAAUGGGAGCAAUCCUGACGCAGCAACGCCGCGUGGGUGAUGAAGGCCUUCGGGUCGUAAAGCCCUGUCAGGUGGGAAGAAUGUCCCGGGACUGAACAGGUUCCGGGAGUGACGGUACCACCAGAGGAAGCACCGGCUAACCCCGUGCCAGCAGCCGCGGCAAUACGGAGGGUGCAAGCGGUAUUCGGAAUUAAUGGGCGUAAAGCGCGUGUAGGCGGUCCUGCAAGUCUGGUGUGAAAGCCCCGGGCUUAACCCGGGAAAUGCAUUGGAAACUGUGGGGCUUGAGUACUGUAGAGGAUGGGGGAAUUCCCGGUGUAGAGGUGAAAUUCGUAGAGAUCGGGAGGAAUAUCAGUGGCGAAGGCGCCCAUCUGGACGGUAACUGACGCUGAGGCACGAAAGCGUGGGGAGCAAACA